CUGAUCAGAAGGUAUCGGUGAAUGCGAAGACGAAGGGCCCAGAGCGUAAAGAGAAGGAGGGGGAAAAGCUGAAACAUACAAGAAUUCCCAUUUCAAACCCAACUCCAUCAAAUCAAAACCACCAGAGCUCUAGCCAAGAGAAUGUUGAAAAACAUUUUGAGGAAUAUAAAAUUAGGUUUAAGUUUGUGUUUUAGAAAUUAUGCGAGUAUUAUAAAUCUUAAAAUUACUUGAAAUUAAUUUAUUUAAUUAUUAAUUUUAAAUUUUUAAAAGAUUAGUUGAAGUAUAUUUAAGAUACUUCGAAAGUUAUAAUUAAAAAAGAGAAGAAGAGAGAAUGUUUGAAAAAAACGGUGGCAGCAUGCACGAAUUCAAUGCCUAACGAUUAUAAGGAUCCAAUUGCUGACAAAGCUGUACAAUGUCUUAAUUUAUUUUAGUUCUUCAGUUUUGAGUUGUAACUGUAAUAAUGGCUUAUAAGGAUGACAUGGAUGAAAUUAAAUUUUGAUCAGGGAGGACCAAGCCAUGAAAAAAUUAAGGGGAGAGGGACCUAAACAAGGAAGAAGAAGAAAUCAUCAACCCUAUGGAUCUUGAGUUAUAUGCAAUGCUACAAGGAAUCACUAUGUUCUUUUAGUUUUAUUUAUAAAAUUAUUAUUGUAAUCAUAAUAUUUAUGUUUUCUCAUCGUAUUCAAACCACGAACAACCCACUAUGGUCAUUUUACUUAGGAAUAUUGAAAAAUCUGCUCUCUAAAAAGAGAUUAAUAUUGAGUUUUUGUGACUGGAAAACUCUUAUAUUAAUCCGGAAGUAAUUAUUGAUGCUUAGUUCAUGAAUAAAAUAAACACGAAAAAGAGAAAGUUGUGCUGAAACCCAUCGAAGAUGAUUUUAUGAAAAUAAUUUUUACUUUUUUAUCACUUAUUUUUCUCUUUUUUGCUCUAUCUCUCUUCUCAUAAAAUAAAUUUGAAAUUUACUUUCGAAGUAAAAUAAGAUUUUCUCCCGCUUCCUAUCUUAGAAAAAGGAAUCAUUCACGUGUCAAUGAGGUGCUGUUGUGGUGUCAAAUAUUAACAUAAUAUUUUUUUUAUAUCCAUUGUUUUAUCAAACUAUAAUAUUCCAAGGCAUUCUUGUCGUUGAACAUUCAAAGUCCCCGUUACAUUUCCCACGAUCAUAGAUGAAAACAAAAAAAAUAAAUUAAUUACAAAUUAAAAAAACAGCCAUGCACGCACGCAGACACACCUUUAAUUCUACUAACUAAAAAAAUAAAAUUAACAAUAGACUAUAAUUACUCUUAAAUAAAAAUAGACAGCUAAGAUGAGGUUACAUAGAUCCAAUUUAAAAAGCGUUUAAAAAUAUAAUAAUAAUAAUUUUUUAUUUUUAAAAAGAUAUUCUUGAUAUUAACACAUCAAAACCCUCCUAAUAAAUAAUCAAAAAAAUUAUAAUUGCUAAUUAUAAUUUUAUUCAAGUAAAAAAAUAGAAUCAGACUAUUUUAUUUUCUCCAGAGUUUAUCACUAGCUCAAAUUUCUCAAUAUAGGAGUGAAGAUAAAACGAUAAUCACGAGUUUGAGUCUUCUUAUAGUCACUAGAAGCUUAGAUGAUCGUUAAUUUCAUGAUUCGUAGGAUUAGUCUAGAUAUAUACAAUCAAAUCCAAACACUCAUGUUAAUAAAAAAAAUUUAAAAAUAAUUAUUCUCUAAAUAAAAAGAUGUCGUGUCCAAAUAAUUUGAAGGGGUGAAUAUAUAAUUAUUAAAAGGAUAUGUUUGAAAACACUAUACAAUCACAUGGACUAACAUAAACCUUGGGAGGGGCCACAACUUAAAAAGAAAACAAGGAAGAGUAGAGUUGGUGGUCAACAAGUAAUAUAGCCUCGGGCGUAAUGCGAGCCGUAAUUUUUGAAAUGGCCUAACUCCCGACACCCUCUACUACGUGCAAAACUAAAAUACCACUCUGCUUCAUAUAUUUUUCCAAUAAUCUUACGUCAUCAUACAACUAUUUGAGUGCCACGACAGGCACCACACAUACUAUUUAAUACUUUCAUGUCUACCUUAACUAGACAUUAGCCCUUUGAGACAUCAUUUGUUAAAUCAUGAAUCAGUUUCUUUUUUCUCAUAUUAUAUUUUGAAUUUGAAAGAAAAAGAAAAAACCCAAAGAGAAGUACCAAAUAUGUGUUUUUUUUUUAAAGUAAGAAAACCCUGAAGUUAUUUUUGUUAAUAUAUAUUUAUGUAUCAUCAUAUUGUUUCUAAUUUAAUCUAAUCAGACCACAAAAUAACUCAAAUUGAAAGGAAUAAAAAAGUUUAGAAAAUAAAUUGAGUUGAGGUGCUUCACUAUUUAAAAAAAAAUUAAUAAAUAUAUCAAAUUAAAAAACAAAUGAUUGAAAUGUAAAAGAAAAAAUAUGUGUAAUCCCUAAAUCCUCAUCAAUUUUAAUUUUGUCCAAAAAUUCUUUUUUAUUUUUUAUUUUUUAGUUCUUGACUUUGAAAAAGAAAAGAGAAAGUCAAUUAAAAAAAAUAAAAAAAAAAAUAUCAUUGAUUUAGUCACAUUUCGAUGAAGCAACUUGUCGUUUUUUAUGUCAACGAAAUAAGAAAAGUUUGAUAAUGAUAGUUUUUUUUCUUUAAACAUCCUUGAAAAAAGGAGAUUGGACUCAAAUACUUAUAAAUUUUUCAACUAGUAGAUUUUCACCUUUUGGAGUGAUUUUAAGGUGUUUUGCUAUUAUAAUGUGAUUUAGAGACUUUUUAAGGUGUGUUAAAGUUUGUUUUGUAUGAAAAUAAGUUGACCAAUGGAUUUUCAACCCAAAAAACCCUUCCUUGUUUUUUUUAGCCAACACAAUAAUAUUCAAAAUUUGGGCUAUAAUCUAAUGUGUAAUCUAUUUUUUUUGUUUUUAAAAAAGAAAGUUAUAAGAGGUGGAUGACAAGUCACCGACCUCUUAAAAAAUAUCAUGGCUCAAGCAUGCGGGCUUGUCUCAAGUCAAAGUGCCUAGGUCUUUUUAUAUAUAUUUUUUAAUUUUUUAAUUUAAUAUUUGAUUAAUUUUGAAUUAAUAUUUAUAUUUUUUUAUCAUAUAAUUAAAUUUAAAAAUAUAAUUAAAAUUCAUGACUUGAAUAACAUGUUUAGUUGAGGUUUACAAAAAUAUCAUAUUGAAAUAUUAUUUAAAAGUCAAAGGAUUAAUGUGAGGAUCAUUUAUGUUAUCUUUGUUCUUAGACUUUUUUUUUUCUUUAUUGGUCAUAUAUUUUUCUUUUUUAGAUCUACAAAGUCAACUAGAUCAUUUUAAAAUAAUUCUUAUAUAAUAUAGUUUAAAACUUAAAAUAGAAAAGGAAUCAUGUCAGAAAAUUCAAGUUCCUUCUACUUUACUGGGUUUAAUGAUGAUAUUAAAAAAAUUUCAUAUGACUUAAAUUUUAUUUUAUUUUAUAAAAUAAUUGUUCUGAUCAAUGCAUCAUAACAUAAAUAGUGAUGUUGUAUAUUACAAUCCAGGAAUUAUUUUUAAUUGAAAGUAUUGUCUUAAAUCAUUUAUAUGUACAGAUGUUAAUUAAUCAUGGUGGUGGGUGAAGGUUCAAAACCCUGAAACCGACACUGCAGAUGAGAAGCACCUGCAAAUAUAUUUAAAUUCGGCCAUUGAUACAACACCACACCAAACAAGCAAGUAGGACCAGCUUGAGCUGAAGGGGUAAUAAGAGCAAGGACUUGGCUCACACGGUUCUAGUAUGGCUGGGAAAUCAAAUUAAUUGCCUGCUGAGAUACUACACAAUAUUUCAUAUAGCUACUAAAAUACUAAAAUUAUUGAAAAUCAAUUAGCUUUUUAUUUUUAUUUUUUGGUGGAAAAACCGAGUUCUUAUUGCAAAUCAAGAUUUAUAAAGCCUCUUACAUGGACAUUCUCCUUUGAUUUUAUACAUCAGCAAUAUGAACAGUUUAUCCACGCACAGUACUACAGAAGGGAUUAAUUCAUACAUAAAGUAGUAAAAUAAAACAAAAGAACAUUCAAUCAUCGAACAGUGAUGCAUUAACAUUAAUUAUAAUACUGUUUAUAUGUAGAAAGAACUCCAUGAUUGAUCAUUUGAUGACAAAAAAAGGACUGCAAAUUGCAAAGAAGACACCAGACCCGGGAAACCAGCCAAACCUUGUUAAUUUCAUUGCCAGCAAAUCUGCCUUGGAAAUUCUAAGAGCAGUUUGAAUAUCUCUCUCUUAUUGUAACCCUAUCUCUCUAGCUAUCCCCAUUCCCCAUGUUUUAUGAGCCAUAACAGGAAGAAAAAAAAGCAAGAAUCGAAACCAAGAACAUGAACAUAAACAAGAUAAAAGAAGAACAAGUCAAAUGCCUGGCUUUCCCAUGUACGCCGCUAAAUUUAUAAUCUGUUUGCCUCGGUGAAUUCUUCUCCGAGACCAGACUUCCCAAAAGCAAACCCCAUGUUUAUACAUAUCUCUAAUCCUUCUCCGGGCCAAAGAAACUUGCAGGUAAGUUUGAAUGUAUAGCAUGCACGUAUGAUCUGAUCUUGCCGGAAAGUUGAUCACGCUUCUUCCUCCUCCUCCUCCUCCUCCUCCUCCUCCUGAUCAGCAGGAGACCCAUUUUCAUUAAUCUCUCCGUGAGCUUGCUUCUAACUAUGAUCUCUAGUGCCGAGAAAGAAAGAGAUCAGGAGCAGGAGAUAGCUAAACAAGAAAAGUAAAGAGGAGCAGUGUGUCGUCCUAGAACUUGAACACCCAACAAGAAGAUUAAUAUAUAAAAAGGGAAUAGAAAAGGAGAGAAAGGGGUAGAGGAAAGGGCGUUCCCGAGAAGAUGACGAGCGUUUCCCGUUAAUGUUGUUUUCAAAGGUUGGGUUUUAAUUUUCUUAAACGUGGGGCCAAUCAAAA
This 4810-nucleotide long non-coding RNA is filed under the name Populus tremula. Its description in RNAcentral is "long non-coding RNA (PTRE_LNC000989)". Lineage: Eukaryota; Viridiplantae; Streptophyta; Magnoliopsida; Malpighiales; Salicaceae. The record is from RNAcentral.